AUGGUAUUGCUGCUCGCAGUGAGACUGCUAGAGUUUGAUCGACAUAUAAACAUAGAUCUCAAUGAGCCUUUGUAGUGGAUAUUGACGACAGUUGAUCCACAUAGGAGUAGGAUAUGUAUCAAGAUGGAAUCUAUCAAUAUUGAUAGAAAUGAGUAGUCCUAUAGGAUUUAAGAGGCUAAGUCUAAGAAUCUGUAGCCACAGUAGUGUGAUUAAUGAAAAAGAGUUUUCAUAGAAGUUACAACUGGACUUGAGCUAAUCGAAUCUAUCAUAUGACUGAUAUUGAGGUUUGAUGAUUUAUCCAUAACCUACCAUCUAGUCGGGACUCACG
Molecule: long non-coding RNA, 328 nt
Filed under: Elaeis guineensis (African oil palm)
Lineage: Eukaryota; Viridiplantae; Streptophyta; Magnoliopsida; Arecales; Arecaceae
Description: long non-coding RNA (EGUI_LNC048003)
Source: RNAcentral